This 447-nucleotide ribosomal RNA is filed under the name uncultured bacterium. RNAcentral's name for it is "bacterial SSU rRNA". It matches the Rfam family "Bacterial small subunit ribosomal RNA", at positions 355 to 825 of the family's 1533-position model. The record is from RNAcentral.
UCGGGAAUUUUGGGCAAUGGGCGAAAGCUUGACCCAGCAACGCCGCGUGAAGGAUGAAGUAUUUCGGUAUGUAAACUUCGAAAGAAUAGGAAGAAUAAAUGACGGUACUAUUUAUAAGGUCCGGCUAACUACGUGCCAGCAGCCGCGGUAAUACGUAGGGACCAAGCGUUGUUCGGAUUUACUGGGCGUAAAGGGCGCGUAGGCGGCAAUUCAAGUCAUCUGUGAAAUCUCCGGGCUUAACUCGGAACGGUCAGAUGAUACUGCUUUGCUAGAGUGCAGAAGGGGCAAUCGGAAUUCUUGGUGUAGCGGCGAAAUGCGUAGAUAUCAAGAGGAACACCUGAGGUGAAGACGGGUUGCUGGGCUGACACUGACGCUGAGGCGCGAAAGCCAGGGGAGCAAACGGGAUUAGAUACCCCAGUAGUCCCUGAGCGGGCUGGCAAGGCGCAU